CCUACGGGCGGCAGCAGUGGGGAAUAUUGCACAAUGGGGGAAACCCUGAUGCAGCGACGCCGCGUGAAUGAUGAAGUAUUUCGGUAUGUAAACUUCUGUGAUCAGGGAAGAAAAUGACGGUACCUGACUAAGAAGCCCCGGCUAACUACUUACCAGCAGCCGCGGUAAUACGUAGGGGGCAAGCGUUAUCCGGAUUUACUGGGUGUAAAGGGGGAGUAGACGGUAUUGCAAGUCGGAUGUGAAAUCCCGGGGCUCAACCCCGGCACUGCAUUGGAAACUACCGAACUAGAGUGUCGGAGAGGCAAGUGGAAUUCCUAGUGUAGCGGUGAAAUGCGUAGAUAUUAGGAGGAACACCAGGGGCGAAGGCGGCUUGCUGGACUAUGACUGACGUUGAGGCUCGAAAGCGUGGGGAGCAAACAGGAUUAGAUACCCGAGUAGUC
RNAcentral lists this ribosomal RNA (440 nucleotides) under uncultured bacterium. Its description in RNAcentral is "partial 16S ribosomal RNA". It matches the Rfam family "Bacterial small subunit ribosomal RNA", at positions 338 to 795 of the family's 1533-position model. The record is from RNAcentral.